GGCCGAGGGAGGGAGGGACGGAGGGAGGGCGGCAGUGACGAGGGGUGCGUGGGGGAUCGUGUGCGUGGGGAAUCAGGCCUAAGAACUUGGUGAGGGAAUUGCCUGUCCGGAAGUGGCCUCCGAACACGCCGCGCCCUCCCCAGCAGUCAGCCCAAGUUCCUGCCCUCCCUCCAGCGGCCAGGCCUGAUGUAUGGGUGGACAGAUUUCCGUGGCCCUAGGAUGUGCAAAAGUCCUGGAGUGCAGCUGCUGGACAGGUUCGGGGAGUGUGGGCAGGCUCUUGGCAGAGGGGCUGUGGCGUUUGGCACCCCACAUGCAAUGAGAGAGGCACCCACGAAGGCAUGAGACCUGUAGUACGUGAGGACAGCUGCACACCUCGCAGGAGGAGGUGGCACCUGGAAGUUGCAGCUGGCACAGGAACCUACAUGGGCUCUGAGCUGGGCCCAGGCUUGACUGCUCUUCAGUGUGGGUGACUGGCAGUGAAGAGGAACAUACUGAGGACAGUGUCCUGAGCCCGUGGCCCCUGCACCACCCAGUGCGUGGGAGGUGGGUCCUGGACUCCAGGAGGGCCAGGCUGGGGCCAGGGCCACCCCCAGGAGGUUCCCAGGGACCACAGCUCCCUGCCAGGAAGAAGGUAGAGGAGAUGACAGCACUGCCCCCAGCACAGGCGAUCCACGCGGGGAGCAGGGUCUGUCCCUCAGCCCGGGACCCUCAAGUCCUCUCCCUGCUCUCCAAUCCGGGGCAAUGGAGAGCUCCGGCCCCUGCUGAGGCCCCACUCCUUCCUCUCGGCUCCUGGGCGGGGCUCUGUGUCUUGCUGUCCUGCUGUGGUUGGGGACCAGAGGUUACCAGGUGCUUCUCCAGUUCUCAGUGGCCAAGAUAAUAGUAGGAGCAGUGCUCUUCAUUUAUACAGUUUUGUCAUUGCGGUCUCACGCACAUUAUUUCACUGUCAUGCACAACCAGGAAGUGCACUGACAGGUGUUCUGUGUGGUCGCAGGCCAGGGCCUCUGGCUUCCUGAAGUACCACACAGCCUGGCAAGUUGGGGGGGGCACAGUGAGUGGGUCUUCCGAGUCCCAGCCCCAGCAGCAAGGCUCUGCUAGGUUAAUCUGGCUGCCCCUGGUGUAUCCCCGUGUUUGCUUUCUCUUGCCCCUUAAACUGCCUUAUGAAAACCAAUAAAAAGUG
Molecule: long non-coding RNA, 1177 nt
Filed under: Heterocephalus glaber (naked mole-rat)
Lineage: Eukaryota; Metazoa; Chordata; Mammalia; Rodentia; Bathyergidae
Description: lncRNA (ENSHGLG00000032567.1)
Source: RNAcentral